This 253-nucleotide ribosomal RNA is filed under the name uncultured bacterium. RNAcentral describes it as "partial 16S ribosomal RNA". It matches the Rfam family "Bacterial small subunit ribosomal RNA", at positions 524 to 776 of the family's 1533-position model. The record is from RNAcentral.
UACAGAGGUCCCAAGCGUUGUUCGGAUGCACUGGGCGUAAAGGGUGCGUAGGCGGUCGGGUAAGUCUGAUGUGAAAUCUCACAGCUUAACUGUGAAACUGCAUUGGAUACUAUCCGGCUCGAGGAAUGGAGGGGAGACUGGAAUACUUGGUGUAGCAGUGAAAUGCGUAGAUAUCAAGUGGAACACCAGUGGCGAAGGCGAGUCUCUGGACAUUUCCUGACGCUGAGGCACGAAAGCCAGGGGAGCAAACGGG